AACGAACGCUGGCGGCAUGCCUAAUACAUGCAAGUCGAACGAUCACUUCGGUGGUAGUGGCGCACGGGUGCGUAACGCGUGGGAAUCUGCCCUUGGGUUCGGAAUAACGUCGGGAAACUGACGCUAAUACCGGAUGCUUACGUCAGUCCAAAGAUUUAUCGCCCAGGGAUGAGCCCGCGUAGGAUUAGCUAGUUGGUGGGGUAAAGGCCUACCAAGGCGACGAUCCUUAGCUGGUCUGAGAGGAUGAUCAGCCACACUGGGACUGAAGACACGGCCCAGACUCCUACGGGAGGCAGCAGUAGGGAAUAUUGGACAAUGGGGGCAACCCUGAUCCAGCAAUGCCGCGUGAGUGAUGAAGGCCUUAGGGUUGUAAAGCUCUUUUACCCGGGAUGAUAAUGACAGUACCGGGAGAAUAAGCCCCGGCUAACUCCGUGCCAGCCGCCGCCGUAA
RNAcentral lists this ribosomal RNA (450 nucleotides) under uncultured bacterium. RNAcentral describes it as "partial 16S ribosomal RNA". It matches the Rfam family "Bacterial small subunit ribosomal RNA", at positions 29 to 523 of the family's 1533-position model. The record is from RNAcentral.